This 585-nucleotide ribosomal RNA is filed under the name uncultured bacterium. RNAcentral's name for it is "bacterial SSU rRNA". It matches the Rfam family "Bacterial small subunit ribosomal RNA", at positions 338 to 916 of the family's 1533-position model. The record is from RNAcentral.
CCUACGGGAGGCAGCAGUGGGGAAUUUUGGACAAUGGGCGCAAGCCUGAUCCAGCAAUGCCGCGUGAGUGAAGAAGGCCUUCGGGUUGUAAAGCUCUUUUGUCAGGGAAGAAAAGGUUGCGAAUAAUACUCGCAGCUCAUGACGGUACCUGAAGAAUAAGCACCGGCUAACUACGUGCCAGCAGCCGCGGUAAUACGUAGGGUGCAAGCGUUAAUCGGAAUUACUGGGCGUAAAGCGUGCGCAGGCGGUUUUGUAAGUCUGUUGUGAAAUCCCCGGGCUCAACCUGGGAAUGGCAAUGGAGACUGCAAGGCUAGAGUUUGGCAGAGGGGGGUAGAAUUCCACGUGUAGCAGUGAAAUGCGUAGAUAUGUGGAGGAACACCGAUGGCGAAGGCAGCCCCCUGGGUCAAAACUGACGCUCAUGCACGAAAGCGUGGGGAGCAAACAGGAUUAGAUACCCUGGUAGUCCACGCCCUAAACGAUGUCUACUAGUUGUCGGGUCUUAAUUGACUUGGUAACGCAGCUAACGCGUGAAGUAGACCGCCUGGGGAGUACGGUCGCAAGAUUAAAACUCAAAUGAAUUGACGG